CAAAGGAACAAGGUGGAUUUGCUAUUUAUUUCAAGAUCAGUACUACACAAGGUUCUAAGGUUACUCUAGCAUGCAACGACGCUAUAACAACUGAUGGGACUUCCGGUACAUCUUCCACCAGUGAGCUUACUACCACUACAACAGCAUCUUCCACCAGUGAAGUUCCUAGCACUGCAACAACAUCUUCCACCAGUGAGUUUCCUAGUACUAUAACCACACCAGCAUCUUCCACCAGCAGCACCGAAACCCCCAGUACGUCAGAUAACCCUUCUACUAUAACUGCUACCCAUAAAACUUCAACAGAAAACAAAAAUAAUAUUUCUACACCCAAAGAAAAUGGACAGUUCCAAAAGGACAAUGAUUCUCCAAAACUAUAUGGUAUAGUAGGUGGAAGUGUUACUGGAGUGGUUAUUAUAGUAAUAAUUAUUACACUAGUCUGUUUUAUCAGGAAACAGAAAAGAAAUCACCUUGAGAAAGACACCGUGACUGUUGACGACAGACCUCGUGACUAUGUGAACAUUGUUGCCAAGGACAACAUGGUUUAUAGUGGUGAAGAUACCGUUGAAUAUAGCCUAGAAACCAACCCAAAUAGUAAUGGAAGAGUUACCCUUAACAACAGAGAAAAAACCAAUUCUGAACGAGGAAACAUCGUUACCAAUCCAAGUCCCAUUUACUAUGAAUUGGAAAGGGAUUUUGAUGUUGGGGCCUCUUCGUUAAAUGAUAAUCAGUCAGAUAUUCCUCAGGCUACGGUUGCCAAUUCAAGUCCCGUGUACUAUGAAUUGGAAAGGGAAUUUAAUGUUGGGACAUGUUCGGUAAAUGAUAACAAUACUAAAUCUGUUAUUCCUCUAGCUACGGUUUCCAGUCCAACUCCCGUUUACUAUGAAUUGGAAAGAGAUUUUGAUGAUGGGGCCUGUUACUAAAUCUGGGAUUCCUCUGGCUACGGUUGACGAUAUUGACGAUGUGGUAAACCCCUGCUGAAAAUCCUACAAUUCCAGAUGUUUCCAAAGAUGGACACACAGCUUCAUCAAGUACCAAAGAUGAACACACAGCUUCAUCAAGUACCAAAGAUGAAAUGUGUAUUACAGGUGGUGACAAAUUGUAUAAUUGUAGAAUAAAACCAAUCAAUUUAACAAUAACAAUGAAAAUCUAUAUAUCAGAGCCAGCUCCGACAUCUGAAACGUUGACGUUUAUAAUCAUUAUGAGUAUUC
Molecule: long non-coding RNA, 1208 nt
Organism: Patella vulgata (common limpet)
Lineage: Eukaryota; Metazoa; Mollusca; Gastropoda; Patellidae
Exons: 4
Source: RefSeq, a predicted model, not a curated record